This 468-nucleotide ribosomal RNA is filed under the name uncultured bacterium. RNAcentral's name for it is "partial 16S ribosomal RNA". It matches the Rfam family "Bacterial small subunit ribosomal RNA", at positions 28 to 507 of the family's 1533-position model. The record is from RNAcentral.
GACGAACGCUGGCGGCGUGCUUAACACAUGCAAGUCGAACGGAAAGGCCCUGCUUUUGUGGGGUGCUCGAGUGGCGAACGGGUGAGUAACACGUGAGUAACCUGCCCUUGACUUUGGGAUAACUUCAGGAAACUGGGGCUAAUACCGGAUAUGAGCUCCUGCUGCAUGGUGGGUGUUGGAAAGUUUCGGCGGUUGGGGAUGGACUGGCGGCUUAUCAGCUUGUUGGUGGGGUAGUGGCUUACCAAGGCUUUGACGGGUAGCCGGCCUGAGAGGGUGACCGGCCACAUUGGGACUGAGAUACGGCCCAGACUCCUACGGGAGGAAGCAGUGGGGAAUAUUGCACAAUGGGCGGAAGCCUGAUGCAGCAACGCCGCGUGCGGGAUGACGGCCUUCGGGUUGUAAACCGCUUUCGCCUGUGACGAAGCGUGAGUGACGGUAAUGGGUAAAGAAGCACCGGCUAACUACGUG